GAGCUUGCUCCAUGAUUCAGCGGCGGACGGGUGAGUAAUGCCUAGGAAUCUGCCUGGUAGAGGGGGACAACGUUUCGAAAGGAACGCUAAUACCGCAUACGUCCUACGGGAGAAAGUGGGGGAUCUUCGGACCUCACGCUAUCAGAUGAGCCUAGGUCGGAUUAGCUAGUUGGUGAGGUAAAGGCUCACCAAGGCGACGAUCCGUAACUGGUCUGAGAGGAUGAUCAGUCACACUGGAACUGAGACACGGUCCAGACUCCUACGGGAGGCAGCAGUGGGGAAUAUUGGACAAUGGGCGAAAGCCUGAUCCAGCCAUGCCGCGUGUGUGAAGAAGGUCUUCGGAUUGUAAAGCACUUUAAGUUGGGAGGAAGGGCAUUAACCUAAUACGUUAGUGUUUUGACGUUACCGACAGAAUAAGCACCGGCUAACUUCGUGCCAGCAGCCGCGGUAAUACGAAGGGUGCAAGCGUUAAUCGGAAUUACUGGGCGUAAAGCGCGCGUAGGUGGUUUGUUAAGUUGAAUGUGAAAGCCCCGGGCUCAACCUGGGAACUGCAUCCAAAACUGGCAAGCUAGAGUAUGGCAGAGGGUGGUGGAACUUCCUGUGUAGCGGUGAAAUGCGUAGAUAUAGGAAGGAACACCAGUGGCGAAGGCGACCACCUGGGCUAAUACUGACACUGAGGUGCGAAAGCG
This 689-nucleotide ribosomal RNA is filed under the name uncultured bacterium. RNAcentral's name for it is "bacterial SSU rRNA". It matches the Rfam family "Bacterial small subunit ribosomal RNA", at positions 76 to 761 of the family's 1533-position model. The record is from RNAcentral.